Molecule: unclassified non-coding RNA, 616 nt
Filed under: uncultured Cryptococcus
Lineage: Eukaryota; Fungi; Basidiomycota; Tremellomycetes
Description: sequence contains ITS1, 5.8S rRNA gene, ITS2
Rfam family: 5.8S ribosomal RNA (bases 186-339)
Source: RNAcentral
GUGACCUGCGGAGGAUCAUUAGUGAAUUGAAUAUGUUAGCGGACCUCUUCGGAGUCCCUAGCAUCAAAUCAUAUCCAUAACACCUGUGAACUGUAAGGCUGUCUUGAAAACGAAAGUGAUUAGAGCGCCUGCCCAUUUUAUACAAACAUUAAAGUAACAAACGUAGUCUUAUUAUAAUCUAAUAAAACUUUCAACAACGGAUCUCUUGGCUCUCGCAUCGAUGAAGAACGCAGCGAAAUGCGAUAAGUAAUGUGAAUUGCAGAAUUCAGUGAAUCAUCGAAUCUUUGAACGCACCUUGCGCUCUUUGGUAUUCCGAAGAGCAUGCCUGUUUGAGUGUCAUGAAAAUAUCAACCUUGACUUGGGUUUAGUGCUCUUGUCUUGGCUUGGAUUUGGCUGUUUGCCGCUCGAAAGAGUCGGCUCAGCUUAAAAGUAUUAGCUGUAUCUGUCUUUGAGACUUGGUUUGACUUGGCGUAAUAAGUUAUUUCGCUGAGGACAAUCUUCGGAUUGGCCGAGUUUCUGGGACGUUUGUCCGCUUUCUAACACAAGUUCUAGCUUGCUAGACAUGACUUUUUUAUUAUCUGGCCUCAAAUCAGGUAGGACUACCCGCUGAACUUAA